UAAGUGAGUGGAGGAUGAGAAACUAAACAGGAUUCCUUUAGUAAUGGCGAAUGAAGAAGGAGUAGCUCAACAUGAAAAUCUGGGCAUCUGGCCUUGAAUUGUAGUUUGAAGAUGCAUUUGCCAAUGGACAUGAUAAUGAAAGCCUUUUGGGAAAAAGCAUCAACGAGGGUGAGAAUCCUUCUUGACAUUUCAAUUGUCCAUGUACGGUGUGCAUUGAAGAUUCACGUUCCUUGGGAUUUGAACGCAAACUUGUUGGUAAAUUUCAUUUAAAGCUAAAUAUUGGUUUG
RNAcentral lists this ribosomal RNA (287 nucleotides) under Protoceratium reticulatum. RNAcentral's name for it is "partial 28S ribosomal RNA". It matches the Rfam family "Eukaryotic large subunit ribosomal RNA", at positions 43 to 330 of the family's 3401-position model. The record is from RNAcentral. Lineage: Eukaryota; Dinophyceae; Gonyaulacales; Protoceratiaceae.